This is a long non-coding RNA of Leptidea sinapis, 4080 nucleotides long. RefSeq lists it as uncharacterized. Lineage: Eukaryota; Metazoa; Arthropoda; Insecta; Lepidoptera; Pieridae. The transcript has 7 exons. The record is from RefSeq and is a predicted model, not a curated record.
AUGGAAACACUAUACAUAUUGCACCUAUUGUGCCACUAGAAUAGAAAUAUUUAUAUCCACCAUUAACAAUGGUAGUGUCAAUAACAUAACAUACUGCCACAACACAAGGUCAACGUCAUAAACAGGGGUGUGCAUUGGUUUUCUAGUAAAGUAGGCAGUGUGGAGCUAACAAGUCGUAGUUGAGCUAGGAAUAUGCAAAGAUUGCUUACUGUAGAUCAUACCAUCAACAAAUAUUCAUUCACUUAUCUGCCUUGAAUGUGUGUCUAGACUCAGAGAUGCCAAAAGUUUCCGUGACUUGGUGGUGGAAGCAGAGAAGCAGCUGAUAAAAAUUGAAGUCGUAGAAGAGCCGGUGUGUGUCCAGACAGAUAGUGGUUCGGAUGUACUUAUCGAUGUCAACUUAGAUAUCCCAGUUAAAGAGGAAAAUGAUCAAAAUGAACUGGAUAGUGAAUGUGGCAAUUUUCAAAGAGCAGAUGGUGUACAUAAUGUAAAUGAUAUGUACAUAGGCAUCACAAUCAAACAGGAAACACUCGAUCCACUUAGUGAAUCGGAUAUAACAUAUGGAGAUUUUGAAAGAUGUGGCGAUGACAUUCAACGAGAAGAUGAACAAUCUGCGAAUAUCCAAGAAGAACCUCUGGACUCGAAAGGCGUCUUGCCAAAACAUAGCGAUUUUUACCUUGGACAAACUGAAAAUUCAACAUUAGUCGGCGACAGAGAGGAGCGUUUACUAGCGAAGCGAUUAUCGCAAAGAAUCUAUGAGACCUUGUGGGAUCCGGAGGUCAAUGUAACAGAUACCCGCAUAAGAUGCGAAGAAUCUUUACCAAUUCCAGCUGGCGUAUUGGAACACAGGAAAUCACACUUAUCUGAAUCUAAUUCAGAAUUUGAUGAUAUUAUAAGUAAAAAGAAACUCCAGAACAAAAUAAGGUGCAAACGAUAUAGAGAUAAGAAAAAAGCUGAUGCAGUAAUCAAUUCACAGACUGCCAAACAGCUACAGAUAACAGCUGAAGAAGCGGAAAGAAUAAGGCUUCGUAGAGAAAGAGAUAGAUGCAAAAGUAAGCGAUACAGGGAUAGAAAGAGAGCUGCCAAGUCGAAAGAGAAGAAACCAGAGUGAAGAAACAGAAGAGUCUUAGGCCUAUCGCAGAUGACACACUGUUUGUGAUAUUGAGUCUGCGGCACACAAAAAGACUGCAUUGCGCGCAAAAUGUCUUUGGCAGAUAUUUCACAGACUACAAUUUCGGUCAUUUUGUCCGCAGAACUGUAGGGAUGUACAAGCAAUGGAAGUACAGAGAUUGCGGUUUAUUAUUUCGUACUUGAGAUAUAAAAAACUAUAAACUAUAUUCUUUCAGCAAAAUUAUUAAAUGGACUGUUUCAUAUUAAACAUUCAGUUCUAAAACUGGCACACUUCAUCCCACAAUUUUCUUUUUAUAUUUCUGUCAUGAUACUCUACCAAUUACGUAUCAUACAGUGCUGCGGGCCUACCAUGAACUCUUAUUGCGAUGCAAGUGACAACCUAAAAUGAACUGCUUUGCAAUUUUGUACCACGACGUGAUUAGAGCUAUCUAAUUUAAGUUGACGUCAAACCAACUGAUUGAAUCGCAAUGAUGUCAAUUGAAUGUCAAAAAUGAUGUCAAUUGAAUCGUAAACUGAUUUAGUUCGUUCAUUCAUUCAUACCAUGAGGUUAUAUUUCAACCUAAACUGGAUAGCUUAUGUGUCAAAGCGAGCGAUUCGAGAAAAGUUGAAACUUCCUUAGAGGAAUGUAAAUCGUGUUGUUAAUAACUUUUAAAUAAUAGUGAAAACAUACAGAAAAGGAAAAUUUUAUUGAUGAAAGAUGAGAUGAGAAUACUUACUUUUUAGUAAAACAAAAUACUGAAAUUAAAUAUCAAACAUGAAAAUACUAAAGACGAAGCAGUAAGGGCCCGGGCCUGUUCGCAAGAACGAAUUAAAAAAAUGUACUCUGUGGUCCUGUCAAAUCAAACAGCUAUGGACGUCCGUUCAUUACUCGUUAUUUUUACGAAAACACCUAAGCAAACAUUUAAUUUGUAAUUCAAAGAACUAUAUUUAUUUAUAUUACUAUUAUUUAAUAAGUACAAAAAAGUGCCUAAGAGUUUAUAAUUUGACGCUAUAUAGCGCAAAUUUAAAAUGUAUUUUAAGUAUUUUCUACGCAAAAAAACCGCUAAAAUCAUAUCAUUUUAGGUUUCGAAACGCAACGCAUAUGGUUCGAGUAAGAGAGACAUACUUAUGCAAAGACUGUAGAGCGUCAUCUCUUUCUCACACCGUGGACCACAGACAAAUUUAUUUCGUUCAUUCUUCAUUAGCGAUCCAAACGCCAUUCCUUAAAAGGCACUUCAUGGUACGAAUUUUAGCGAUUCAGUUAAGGUACCUAAACUGAACUGCACCGGAAUCGCAUCGCUUGUUAAAAGUUGAUGGUAGUCCCCCUGGUCUCUGUUUUCUAUUUCUUGUAUCAACAUCGAUACAUCGAUGUCUAGCGCCAUGAUACACGUCAAACACUAGCAAGUGCAGACGACGGACUAAAGUGAGCGUCAGUUAGCGCGUGUUGACGCGAACGUUAUAUUUUUUGGCGCACUUUUUGCGCGUCGUCUGCGUUACCGCAAUUCUAUAUGUUUUAUUGUCACAGACUAAAAAGUGCGUCACGGAUAGUCUGCGAUAGGCCUUAGGGUGUGAAACUUUAGCGGUUUGUAGAUAUGUCUCACUUACUGAUUACUUAUCUUAAGAGGAUUCAUAAUAAUAUGAAAAAAAAUGCAAUUUCGUUUCAUAUAAAUACUAAGGCCAACGAGACGAUAUAAAGAAUAUAAACAAACGGACGGUUACGGAGUUACAUUCCGAUAGCGAGCGAUUAUUAUCUCUGUCCUUAUCACUCGUACGCCGUAAUUACGUCAGUUGGUCGACGACUUUCGUGGUACAGGAAAGCAGUUGUCGUCAACAUUUGGUCCGAAAUUUUGUGAACAAGUCCAUUAAUGUUUAGAUUGCGUUCAAAGUGAUAUAGCUAGUAUUUUUGCGUUUCCGUAUUUACUUAGUUUUUUUUUUAUUUAUUAUUAAUCGGUUGCUGUUAGUUUUAUUGUUAAUUUUUACUGUUUUUGAGUAGUUUUGUGACUGCGCUGUAGACAACCUUUGAAAUAAAUUAAAUUCACUACGCAAAAAGCGUCAAAGUUGUGUGGAUCGUUGACAACAUGAUUGAUAAUACAAUAGAUAGUGUUGUCAUAAAUACGACUGAUUCGGACCCUUCCGAUACAUCUUCUUUGUCUUAUACAGACGACAGCGAUUAGAAUAAGGCACCCAACAUUUAUAUAUAAUUUAUUCAAAUAAAAAUGUUAUCAAGCCCCGAUACUGUUUUAUUGUCACUACACAAAUAAAAUUGGAAAAAAAAUUUAUGAACGAUGCGGGAUUCGAACCCACGACCUAAACGCCGGUGCUCUAAACAACUGUUCGAAUCCCGCAUCGUUCAUAAAAUUUUGUUUUUCAAAUUUUAUUUGUGUAUUAAUCCUAGAAGUGAGGAUUAUUACUUUAAAAACAUAACAUAUUGUUUAGAUUUACAAGAGCGACAUCUCAAGUCAAUUGCCUUAUAUGCAAAUAUUGGGGUUGAGCAGGUUAUCAACUGUAAAGUAGAUCCUGUAGAUGAAGCCACAAUCUGAGAGUUGAACAAAGCAAACAGAAUUUUACAACGAGGUGGUACUCGAACGGUUAGCUCAGUUGUUUAGAGCACCGGCACGGAACGCCGGUCGUGGGUUGGAAUCCCGCAUCGUUCAUAAAAUUUUGUUUUCCAAAUUUUAUUUGUGUAUUGAUCCUAGAAGUGAGGGAUAUCACUUUAAAAACAUAACAUAUUGUAUUGUCAUUAUUUAUAGCACGGCAUGCAAAGGCACUGAUUUUAUGGUACGAGUUAUAUUUUGGUACUAGCUGACCCGGCAAACGUUGUUUUGCCAUAUAAAGUAUAAUUCACGCGAUAGUUUUAUAAGUAAUAAAAUAUUGCCUAUAUUAUAGCCUGUACAUCAUUUUGUUCUAUUGUCAAUAGUUUUUGCAGCGCACGCAAAAAUAGGUUUUCGAUUUUACACCUUGUGUUACAAAAUA